UACGGAAGGCAGCAGUGGGGAAUAUUGCACAAUGGGCGAAAGCCUGAUGCAGCUAUGCCGCGUGUAUGAAGAAGGCCUUAGGGUUGUAAAGUACUUUCAUCGGGGAGGAAAAAACAAAACUAAUAAUUUUAUUUCUUGACGUUACCCGAAAAAGAAGCACCGGCUAACUCCGUGCCAGCAGCCGCGGUAAUACGGAGGGUGCUAGCGUUAAUCAGAAUUACUGGGCGUAAAGAGCACGUAGGUGGUUUUUUUAAGUCAGAUGUGAAAUCCCUGGGCUUAACCUGGAACUGCAUUUGAAACUGAAAUACUAGAGUAUCGUAGAGGGAGGUAGAAUUCUAGGUGUAGCGGUGAAAUGCGUAGAUAUCUGGAGGAAUACCUGUGGCGAAAGCGGCCUCCUAAACGAAUACUGACACUGAGGUGCGAAAGCGUGGGGAGCAAACAGGGAUUAGAUACC
Molecule: ribosomal RNA, 454 nt
Filed under: uncultured bacterium
Lineage: Bacteria
Description: bacterial SSU rRNA
Rfam family: Bacterial small subunit ribosomal RNA
Source: RNAcentral